AGAUUUGCAGUGAUGGAGAGGAGCAGAGAUUUACGAAGAGAGAGAAAAAGAGAGAGAGAGAGAUGCGAUGCAAUUUUCAGAGAGGGAAGAGUGGGAAUAGGGCAGCGGUACCCCAGCGAAACCAGCGGCGGAGGCAUCGGACCUUCGCGGUCCAAGGUGGCGGUGGCAGAACAGAUCGAGAGAGAGAGAAGAUCUGCGAUGAGAGAGAGAGCAGCGGCGGCUGCAUCGGACCUUCGUUGGUACAAGGCGGCGUCCCCGCGGGUGAAGAGACGCGACACGGCUGCGCGCUCCUCCGUUCACGGCGCUCCAAUUUGGAAGGAUUGGAGGCGAGAGAGAGGGAGAAAAGAGGGGAGAGAGGGAGGCUCUGUAUCAAAAAAAGAGAAGAGAGAGAG
This 392-nucleotide long non-coding RNA is filed under the name Salvia miltiorrhiza (redroot sage). Its description in RNAcentral is "long non-coding RNA (SMIL_LNC011674)". The record is from RNAcentral. Lineage: Eukaryota; Viridiplantae; Streptophyta; Magnoliopsida; Lamiales; Lamiaceae.